Molecule: long non-coding RNA, 1909 nt
Filed under: Salmo salar (Atlantic salmon)
Lineage: Eukaryota; Metazoa; Chordata; Actinopteri; Salmoniformes; Salmonidae
Description: lncRNA (ENSSSAG00000098090.1)
Source: RNAcentral
AAGUUGAAAUUUCCCUUAAACUCAACCUCAUAACGUACCAAAAGUCUGAAUUAUGUCAUUGUACAUACAGUACAUUGGAGAGACUGACAUUUAAGUAAUGUAGUCAGUUUAUUACCUUGUAAAUUAAAAUAGUGGCUGGUGGGGGUCUACUUUGAGAGUGGGUCCACAGAGAUUGAAGUGAGAUGAGUGGAGGCCCCACACACCCCUGUGUCUGAUGUCACCCUGUCCCAAUCCCUCAGACCCUCCACUUUCACCAAUAACCACCAUUGAAUCUUAGCUAGAAUGACAAGGAAUAAUGAUGAGGCAUCCUUUCCUAAUCUAUCCAGAACUCCUUAAUUUCACAGCAGGUUUGUAAAUCCAAAAUAAAAUUAGGUAGUUUCGUUAAAUCCGUCCUUCCCAAGUCUAACCCAUCUCUCGCCACCUCCCAGUUCUCUCCUUUUACCCCACCAAGCUUAUCCCAACCUUACAUCCACUUACUCAUUCUCUCCCAACAUAUACCUUAUGCAUCCACAGCCGCUCCUACACCUGUAUUCACCAUCCAAUUCUUAUACAUAAACACACAACUGUUGACAUGCAUGCAAUAUGUUCCCCUUUGAAAUGUAUUUUCAGUGUCCAUGUAGCCCAUUGUCAUCGGCUACUUCUACUGAUAAGUCAGAGAAGUUAUUUGGAGAAAGUAGGGUAGAUUUAUUUUGGGGGAGAGGGAAAGGAUAUUGUCUCAAUUUACAAUAAACUGGUCUUAAGAGUCACUGUAGCCUAGUGCACUCGUUGCUUUUUCCUACUUCGUCCUUUCCUCAGAGCACUGGGAAGGUUUCUUGUAGCUGGAUUAGGGCUUCAUCGGCACUUGUGAAUUCCAUUUUUGCGUUGUUCCCUUCAAUACCUACAGCAAUGCCGGGAACCGGAACAGAGUCUUGAUCCCCUUUUCCUUCAGUGACUGAUCAGAAUAUAUUCCUUGCGUCCCUCUCAGCCUAGGAGAAGUCAUGGACGACUCAAAUAGGAGGAUUAACUCAUGGAUACCAUUUUUAGAUCUCUGCGUGCAUUUUGAAGGAAGUGUAAGGUAGAGACGCCUGUUAGCAAUUGCGCAAACGCUAGCUGGCAACUUAAAAUUGCACGCAGAGCCAUACAAUUUUUUUUUGAAAAUGGUAUCAAUUAAUCUGACUCUGGUGCUGCAAGAAAUGACCAAGUCCACCAUCAUGACUACCAAUCCUGCCUGGAGAACAGUAUUGGAUGGACCACCGCCACACCGUUCACCAAGAAGUAAAGAAUGGAGUCGAGUGAAACACCAGCCUCCCCUGGCUGAGGUGAAACACCAGCCUCCCCUGGCUGAGGUGGAACACCAGCCUCCCCUGGCUGAGGUGGAACACCAGCCUCCCCUGGCUGAGGUGGAACACCAGCCUCCCCUGACUGAGGUGGAACACCAGCCUCCCCUGGCUGAGGUGGAACACCUAGCUGCUAUAGUGGCAAAAUUACAAACUCUUAUGCAGAUCAUUUGUAUAAACCUUACACCUGUCAAUUUCCACUGUCUGUUUCUCUCAUGUAAGAAGAAGCCUGUGUCCCCCCCCUCUUGUUUCUGAGUAACUUACUGUAAUCACCUGGCCAAAGACAAAGGGCUGUCAGAGUGACCAGUUAUUUGGUCCAUCCUGUUGCUUUCCUAUCUUUCAAGGGCACAGCUGUGGAGAUAUGAAGAGAAAAGGCUAGUUUGAGCAGCAGAAACAAUUCCAUCAGCAGAAAGGAGCAACUAAACUGCCAUUAUCACUUGUUUCUAUGCUCCCACUAUGACCUCACACACCUGCUAAACUGCCACAGACAAAAAGAGACCCAACUCUUGUUUGUUGGGCUCUUCACUGUUGCACCUGUCAUGUGAUUGUUAACCAGCUCCAUUUUUGCAAAUCUUAUAAUAAAAUAAGUUGGA